UACGUAGGUGUCAAGCGUUGUCCGGAUUUAUUGGGCGUAAAGCGCCCGCAGGCGGCUUGCCAAGUUCGAUGUGAAAUCUCCCGGCUCAACUGGGAGGGUGCAUCGAAAACUGGCAGGCUUGAGGCAGGGAGAGGGAUGUGGAAUUCCAGGUGUAGUGGUGAAAUGCGUAGAUAUCUGGAGGAAUACCGGUGGCGAAGGCGGCAUCCUGGACCGGCAUUGACGCUGAUGAGCGAAAGCUAGGGGAGCAAACGGG
This 253-nucleotide ribosomal RNA is filed under the name uncultured bacterium. Its description in RNAcentral is "partial 16S ribosomal RNA". It matches the Rfam family "Bacterial small subunit ribosomal RNA", at positions 524 to 776 of the family's 1533-position model. The record is from RNAcentral.